UACAGAGGGUGCAAGCGUUGCUCGGAAUUAUUGGGCGUAAAGCGCGUGUAGGCGGCUUAGCAAGUCGGGCGUGAAAGCCCUCGGCUCAACCGAGGAAGUGCACCCGAAACUGCUGAGCUUGAGUGCCGGAGAGGAUGGCGGAAUUCCCCAAGUAGAGGUGAAAUUCGUAGAUAUGGGGAGGAACACCGGUGGCGAAGGCGGCCAUCUGGACGGUAACUGACGCUGAUGCGCGAAAGCGUGGGGAGCAAACGGG
Molecule: ribosomal RNA, 253 nt
Filed under: uncultured bacterium
Lineage: Bacteria
Description: partial 16S ribosomal RNA
Rfam family: Bacterial small subunit ribosomal RNA
Source: RNAcentral